UUUGUGUUAGUUUCAUAAAAAAAAUGCAACUUAUUAUUUUGACAAGUAGUUUAGUUAGGCUCAAAUACCUCCAGAGAUUAAAUGCACUUCGCUAAAUGACACUUUGAUGGUUUUGAUAAUAAUUUAAGAGUGAGUUUUUGGGUUGAUUUUGCGUUAGUUUUCGAAAUUCAUCCAAGGGAGCCAGGGACAGAUCUAGCUUUUUAUCAGACAUUUAGGGCAUCACAACCUUAAAAACUAAACAUUACAACAUUUUCAAAGCUCAAAAGUGUAUAAAUAAUAGACUAAUUAUAUAAAAAUAGCAUAAAUGAGAGUGGAAGUAAGCCCAAGCCAGAGCCAGGAACAGAUCCAGCUUUUUCUUAGACAUUUAGGGCAUCACAGCCUUAAAAAACUAAAGAUUACAACAUUUUCAAAGCUCAAAAGUGUGUAAAUAAUAGACAAAUCACAUAAAAAUAGCAUAAAUGAGAGUGGAGGUAAGUCCAAGUCAGAGCCAGGAACAGAUCUAGCUUUUUCUUAAACAUUUAGGGCAUCACAACUUUAAAAAAAACUAGACAUUACAAUAUUUUCAAAGCUCAAAAGUGUGCAAAUAAUAGGCAAAUUACAUAGAAAUAGCAUAAAUGAGGGUAAAAACAAGUCCAAGCCAGAGCCAGGGACAGACAUUCGGAGAGAGGCAAGAUGGAGAAGGGGGCGGGGAGGACGAAGAAGGAGACAUUCACUUUUUCAUGGACGUUGAUGCUUCCUGACAUUAUUCCCCUGCUCGUGUAUCAGCAAGAGACCGAGGAGGAGUGAUCGCAUAUAUCUACGGGGAUGACGAGCCCCUCAGACUGCCCAGGGGGACGGUGGGGCAAGGUGACCAGGGGAUUCCAGCUCCACGGGUAAGGGUCGUGGACAGCCAGCGGACUGGAGAGCUUUCCCUUGAGGACUUUGUGCUGGUCUUUAUUGUGAUGGACCCCACAACAGCCCUCGGCAAGCAUCUGCGUAUAUCUUCAGGAGCCGGGGUUAGUCUCGAAGGCAGGCUUGGAUGCCGAAGAGAUGUCCGUAAACCCUGACAAGGCAGCCGUGGCCUCGGAGAGCAGGAUAGGGAGGCAGUUUCAACGCUUCCUCUCCGUUGACGCCUUUCCAAUGAGCUGAUGUCGGCGCUGCACUUCCUUGAAUACAGUAGGAAGGACAAGCCACCUCUCAGCUGGGGAGAGGUGGUUGUGGUGAAGCCAGGCCAGUAAAUCAUCUCCCUGCGUUGCUCUGCUUCAUUGAGAGUGAGCCACAGAUGUUGGUGCUCAGCUCACUGUGCUGCAUCCUAGGUGUGAUAUACUUGUGGCUCAUGACCGGUGACUUGGCCCUCCGACAACCUGCUGCCGGGAUGGAGAGAUUCACUGGGAGGUAAAGCCGCCUGGUGAUCUACCUACCAAAGCUGUCCGUUCAUUGCUUCUUUCUGUUCAAAGAGAAAAAUGUUUGUCAACUAAAGAAUUUCUUGUUGACGACUUGCAUAGUGAGAAUGAUAGCAAUAAGCAUCACCAGUUCAUCAGACAGCUCCUGGGGUUGCUCGGCCUAGUCUGGCUGUUUCUGCUACUGCAUCAUGUCAUCACCCUCCCUGAAGGUGCCGGCCUCUGGGUUUGCAGUCUGCUGGAAGAAUGUGAUUUAGCUCAUUUAAGUCUACACAGUACUGCUAUUCUCUCACUGGCAAUAGUUUGGAUGUCACAACUAUAAUAUGAAAAUGCAAAUGGAUGUGCUGAAUGAUGCUGCAGUAUUGCCAAAUUAUCUGUGUAGGUGCAAAGUUAUACAAGUGACAACCUCAGUCUACACAAACAAGGUAUUCAAGGCUAUUGCUGAAAAACUGUCAACCAAAUCUAGUACUCAUACUACUAAAUUUGGGUAAUGUUCAAAUACACUUAGACCAGCUUAACAUCAUUGAAGAAUACAACUUCCUCAGAAGAACCUGAAGUAUGUCUCUUCCUCCUAAAAAAGACUUAGAAUACAAUUUAGUACACAGUAAGUGUUGCAUGAAAUAUGUAUGCUGUACUGAAUACUUUUACUAAACUGCUGCAAAAUACAAGGGUGAAACUUUGACAAACUCGGAAAAAUAAAAUAGAAUCUGAAAGAUUAAAAAUGUAAAAAAGC
Long non-coding RNA from Eriocheir sinensis (Chinese mitten crab), 2112 nucleotides. RefSeq lists it as uncharacterized. The transcript has 6 exons. Lineage: Eukaryota; Metazoa; Arthropoda; Malacostraca; Decapoda; Varunidae. The record is from RefSeq and is a predicted model, not a curated record.